RNAcentral lists this ribosomal RNA (492 nucleotides) under uncultured bacterium. RNAcentral describes it as "partial 16S ribosomal RNA". It matches the Rfam family "Bacterial small subunit ribosomal RNA", at positions 29 to 507 of the family's 1533-position model. The record is from RNAcentral.
AGUGAACGCUGGCGGUAGGCCUAACACAUGCAAGUCGAACGGCAGCACAGUAAGAGCUUGCUCUUACGGGUGGCGAGUGGCGGACGGGUGAGGAAUACAUCGGAAUCUACUUUUUCGUGGGGGAUAACGUAGGGAAACUUACGCUAAUACCGCAUACGACCUACGGGUGAAAGCAGGGGAUCUUCGGACCUUGCGCGAUUGAAUGAGCCGAUGUCGGAUUAGCUAGUUGGCGGGGUAAAGGCCCACCAAGGCGACGAUCCGUAGCUGGUCUGAGAGGAUGAUCAGCCACACUGGAACUGAGACACGGUCCAGACUCCUACGGGAGGCAGCAGUGGGGAAUAGUGGACAAUGGGCGCAAGCCUGAUCAAGCCAUACCGCGUGGGUGAAGAAGGCCUUCGGGUUGUAAAGCCCUUUUGUUGGGAAAGAAAAGCAGCAGGUUAAUACCCCGCUGUUCUGACGGUACCCAAAGAAUAAGCACCGGCUAACUUCGUG